RNAcentral lists this ribosomal RNA (729 nucleotides) under uncultured bacterium. RNAcentral describes it as "bacterial SSU rRNA". It matches the Rfam family "Bacterial small subunit ribosomal RNA", at positions 8 to 732 of the family's 1533-position model. The record is from RNAcentral.
AGAGUUUGAUCCUGGCUCAGAUUGAACGCUGGCGGCAUGCCUUACACAUGCAAGUCGAACGGCAGCGCGGGGCAACCUGGCGGCGAGUGGCGAACGGGUGAGUAAUAUAUCGGAACGUACCCUGGNAGUGGGGGAUAACGUAGCGAAAGUUACGCUAAUACCGCAUACGAUCUAAGGAUGAAAGUGGGGGAUCGCAAGACCUCAUGCUCCUGGAGCGGCCGAUAUCUGAUUAGCUAGUUGGUAGGGUAAAAGCCUACCAAGGCUUCGAUCAGUAGCUGGUCUGAGAGGACGACCAGCCACACUGGAACUGAGACACGGUCCAGACUCCUACGGGAGGCAGCAGUGGGGAAUUUUGGACAAUGGGCGCAAGCCUGAUCCAGCAAUGCCGCGUGAGUGAAGAAGGCCUUCGGGUUGUAAAGCUCUUUUGUCAGGGNAAGAAACGGUGAGAGCUAAUAUCUCUUGCUAAUGACGGUACCUGAAGAAUAAGCACCGGCUAACUACGUGCCAGCAGCCGCGGUAAUACGUAGGGUGCAAGCGUUAAUCGGAAUUACUGGGCGUAAAGCGUGCGCAGGCGGUUUUGUAAGUUUGUCGUGAAAGCCCCGGGCUCAACCUGGGAAUUGCGAUGAAGACUGCAAGGCUUGAAUCUGGCAGAGGGGGGUAGAAUUCCACGUGUAGCAGUGAAAUGCGUANAGAUGUGGAGGAACACCGAUGGCGGAGGCAGCCCCCUGG